GUGGCCUGAUGGUUAGAGCGCACGCCUCGGAUGUGUGAGGUCGUGGGUUCGAUCCCCGGUCAAGUCA
This is a non-coding RNA of Potamilus streckersoni, 67 nucleotides long. The record is from the annotation of a GenBank genome assembly. Lineage: Eukaryota; Metazoa; Mollusca; Bivalvia; Unionida; Unionidae.